This 460-nucleotide ribosomal RNA is filed under the name uncultured bacterium. Its description in RNAcentral is "partial 16S ribosomal RNA". It matches the Rfam family "Bacterial small subunit ribosomal RNA", at positions 338 to 795 of the family's 1533-position model. The record is from RNAcentral.
CCUACGGGAGGCAGCAGUGAGGAAUAUUCGUCAAUGGACGCAAGUCUGAACCAGCCAUGCCGCGUGCAGGAAGACGGCUCUAUGAGUUGUAAACUGCUUUUGUACGAGGGUAAACGCAGAUACGCGUAUCUGUCUGAAAGUAUCGUACGAAUAAGGAUCGGCUAACUCCGUGCCAGCAGCCGCGGUAAUACGGAGGAUUCAAGCGUUAUCCGGAUUUAUUGGGUUUAAAGGGUGCGUAGGCGGUCGGAUAAGUUAGAGGUGAAAUCCCGAGGCUCAACUUCGGAAUUGCCUCUGAUACUGUUCGACUAGAGAGUAGUAGCGGUAGGCGGAAUGUAUGGUGUAGCGGUGAAAUGCUUAGAGAUCAUACAGAACACCGAUGGCGAAGGCAGCUUACCAAGCUACUUCUGACGUUGAGGCACGAAAGCGUGGGGAGCAAACAGGAUUAGAUACCCUGGUAGUC